GAUGAACGCUGGCGGCGUGCCUAAUACAUGCAAGUCGAGCGAACAGACGAGGAGCUUCCUUCUUUGACGUUAGCGGCGGACGGGUGUGUAACACGUGGAUAACCUACCUAUCAGUCUGGUAUAACUUCGGGAAACCGGAGCUAAUACCGUAUAAUAUAUUGAACCGUAUGGUUCAAUUGUGAAUGACGUCUUUGCUGUCUCUUCUCGCUGGAUCCGCGCCGCAUUAGCUAGUUGGUAAGGUAACGGCUUACCAAGGGAACGAAGCGUAGCCGACCUGAGAGAGUGGUAGGCCACCUGGGAGCUGGAACGGGGUCAAGGCGCCUAAGAGAGGCAGCAGAAGGGAAUCUGAGGCAGUAGGCGGAAGCAUGACGGAGAAAGGGCGCGUGAGUGACAGAAAUCUUGGGAUCGUAACACUCUGUUAUGAGGGAAGAACAAAUGUGUAAGGAAAAAAGCACGUCGUGACGGUACCUAAACAAAAAGCCACGGUUAACUACGUG
This 497-nucleotide ribosomal RNA is filed under the name uncultured bacterium. Its description in RNAcentral is "partial 16S ribosomal RNA". It matches the Rfam family "Bacterial small subunit ribosomal RNA", at positions 28 to 507 of the family's 1533-position model. The record is from RNAcentral.